This 316-nucleotide ribosomal RNA is filed under the name uncultured bacterium. Its description in RNAcentral is "bacterial SSU rRNA". It matches the Rfam family "Bacterial small subunit ribosomal RNA", at positions 484 to 793 of the family's 1533-position model. The record is from RNAcentral.
AAUAAGACCCCGGCUAACUACGUGCCAGCAGCCGCGGUAAUACGUAGGGGCGAAGCGUUAUCCGGAAUCACUGGCGUAAAGGGAGUGUAAGGCGGUCAAGCAAGUACAGAGGUGAAAGGGCAUCGGCUCAACCGAAUGUAAGACCUUUGUAAACUAGUUUGACUUGAGUGCAGGAGAGGUAAGUGGAAUUCCUAGUGUAGCGGUGAAAUAGCGUAGAUAUUAGGAGGAACACCAGUGGCGAAGGCGACUUACUGGACUGUAACUGACGCUGAGGCUCGAAAGCGUGGGGAGCGAACAGGAUUAGAUACCCUGGUAG